RNAcentral lists this small RNA (437 nucleotides) under Pan troglodytes (chimpanzee). Its description in RNAcentral is "processed transcript". Lineage: Eukaryota; Metazoa; Chordata; Mammalia; Primates; Hominidae. The record is from RNAcentral.
AGAUUGCCUUUUGAAAUGAACCUCCUCGAUGUUUCCUCAGAUACUUUACCCUCAACCUGUGUGAAACUAGACUCAUCAUCUUCCCUGCAUAUUGAAUUUGAGAUUCCACUGUGUAAAGUAAUUAGAUUCAACAUAGACUACACGAUUCAUUUCAUUGAAGAGAUGAUGCCGGAGAAUUUUUGUGUGAAAGGGCUUGAACUCUUUUCACUGUUCCUAUUCAGAGAUAUUUUGGAAUUAUAUGACUGGAAUCUUAAAGGUCCUUUGUUUGAAGACAGUCCUCCCUGCUGCCCAAGAUUUCAUUUCAUGCCACGUUUUGUAAGAUUUCUUCCAGAUGGAGGAAAGGAAGUGCUGUCCAUGCACCAGAUUCUCCUGUAUUUGUUAAGGUGCAGCAAAGCCCUGGUGCCCGAGGAGGAGAUUGCCAAUAUGCUUCAGUGGGA